GCCCGGAUGAUCUUCAGUGGUCUGGGGUGCAGGCUUCAAACCUGUAGGUGACUGACGUCACAGUGGUUCAAUUCCACCUUCCGGGCG
Molecule: transfer RNA, 87 nt
Filed under: Gigantopelta aegis
Lineage: Eukaryota; Metazoa; Mollusca; Gastropoda; Neomphalida; Peltospiridae
Description: tRNA-Sec
Rfam family: Selenocysteine transfer RNA
Source: RNAcentral